This 377-nucleotide long non-coding RNA is filed under the name Theobroma cacao (cacao). Its description in RNAcentral is "long non-coding RNA (TCAC_LNC002855)". The record is from RNAcentral. Lineage: Eukaryota; Viridiplantae; Streptophyta; Magnoliopsida; Malvales; Malvaceae.
UUCAAUCAUAAUCUUAGAUAAAAAAGUUUAGUUCCCCAUCAAAUUACACAUCAUCAUCAAAUAAAAUUUACUCAUUAAAAACAAAACCAAGAGAAUAAGAGAAUAAAAAAGAUAGAAAAACUCCAUAAUUGUAUUCUUGAUCUCCAAAUCUCUUUGAAUCCUUCAAAUUCUUCUUAUCUUCAAUGACUCUAUGGCUUAACUCAACUAUCAAUUUGGUGUUUUGUUCUCUCCCGAAAGUCCUCCAAAAUGUUGUUUUUAUAGGGCUUUGAAGUUAGGUCAAGUUGGGUGAAGAAAGAAGUUAAUUUCAGCUGAGAUUUCCUCAUCAGACUAUGUGGGCAGCAGCUUUGCCCAAUUAAUUAACAGAAAUCGUAAUUGCU